AUGAACGCUAGCGGCAGGCUUAAUACAUGCAAGUCGUGGGGCAGCAUGAGUAGCAAUACUUGAUGGCGACCGGCAAACGGGUGAGGAACACGUACACAACCUUCCUUCAAGCGGGGAAUAGCCCAGAGAAAUUUGGAUUAAUACCCCAUAAUAUAUUUGAUAAGGCAUCUUAUUAAUAUUAAAGCUUCGGCACUUGAUGAUGGGUGUGCGGCUGAUUAGAUAGUUGGCGGGGUAACGGCCCACCAAGUCUACGAUCAGUAGCUGAUGUGAGAGCAUGAUCAGCCACACGGGCACUGAGACACGGGCCCGACUCCUACGGGAGGCAGCAGUAAGGAAUAUUGGACAAUGGACGAAAGUCUGAUCCAGCCAUGCCGCGUGAAGGAUUAAGGUCCUCUGGAUUGUAAACUUCUUUUAUAUGGGACGAAAAAGGGCAUUCUUGUUCACUUGACGGUACCAUAUGAAUAAGCACCGGCUAACUCCGUG
Molecule: ribosomal RNA, 483 nt
Filed under: uncultured bacterium
Lineage: Bacteria
Description: bacterial SSU rRNA
Rfam family: Bacterial small subunit ribosomal RNA
Source: RNAcentral